GCAGAGCUUGCAGUGAGCCAAAACUGUGUCACUGCACUCCAGCCUGGGCAACACACUGAGCCUGUCCGGCAGAGCAGCGGAUGUACAGAUGAUUCAGUGGCUGGCAGGAAGCCCGCCCUGCCCGCCCGCCAGUGUCAGUGGUGUUGGCAUCAGCUCGGGCAGGUGUGCGGGCUCAGGAUGGGACGGCCGCGGUGAGGAGCCCUGGACUCUCAGCCAGCCUCAUUUGAAGCCCAAAGUUAUUUGGAAAAAGCAACAGGACCAGCCUGGCACAGUGACUCACACCUGUUAUCCCAGCAUUUGGGGAGGCCAAGGCGGGAGGAUCAUUUGAAGUCAGGAGCUGGAGACCAGCCUGGGCAACAUAGUAAGACUCCCAUCUCUUAAAAAAAAAAAAAAAACCAAUAAAAUUAAAAACUAAAUGAAAAAACCAACAGACACCAGAGCAGAGUUCAGUGGAUAAAGCUGUCCCGGGCUUCAAGCCAGGCCGCCCCCUCCCCCACCCCAGUGUCCGCAGCCGCAGCUCGGCUGGGGG
This 529-nucleotide long non-coding RNA is filed under the name Papio anubis (olive baboon). RNAcentral's name for it is "lncRNA (ENSPANG00000044341.1)". Lineage: Eukaryota; Metazoa; Chordata; Mammalia; Primates; Cercopithecidae. The record is from RNAcentral.